Molecule: ribosomal RNA, 1374 nt
Filed under: uncultured bacterium
Lineage: Bacteria
Description: bacterial SSU rRNA
Rfam family: Bacterial small subunit ribosomal RNA
Source: RNAcentral
UUGAACGCUGGCGGUAUGCUUAACACAUGCAAGUCGAACGGAAACGAUACUAGCUUGCUAGUAGGCGUCGAGUGGCGGACGGGUGAGUAACGCGUAGGAAUCUGCCUGAUAGUGGGGGAUAGCCCGAAGAAAUUCGGAUUAAUACCGCAUAAUCUAUUCGUAGUAAAGUGGGGGACUUUCGAGCCUCACGCUAUCAGAUGAGCCUGCGUAAGAUUAGCUUGUUGGUAGGGUAAAAGCCUACCAAGGCGACGAUCUUUAGCUGGUCUGAGAGGAUGAUCAGCCACAUCGGGACUGAGACACGGCCCGAACUCCUACGGGAGGCAGCAGUGGGGAAUAUUGGACAAUGGGGGCAACCCUGAUCCAGCAAUACCGCGUGUGUGAAGAAGGCCUGAGGGUUGUAAAGCACUUUCAAUUGUGAAGAAAAGUUAGCGGUUAAUAACCGUUAGCCUUGACGUUAACUUUAGAAGAAGCACCGGCUAACUCCGUGCCAGCAGCCGCGGUAAUACGGAGGGUGCAAGCGUUAAUCGGAAUUACUGGGCGUAAAGCGUGCGUAGGCGGUUUAUUAAGUCAGAUGUGAAAGCCCCGGGCUUAACCUGGGAACUGCAUUUGAAACUGGUCAACUAGAGUAUGGUAGAGGAAAGUGGAAUUUCUGGUGUAGCGGUGAAAUGCGUAGAUAUCAGAAGGAACAUCAAUGGCGAAAGGCAGCUUUCUGGACCAAUACUGACGCUGAGGUACGAAAGCGUGGGUAGCAAACAGGAUUAGAUACCCUGGUAGUCCACGCCGUAAACGAUGAUAACUAGCCGUUGGGGGGAUUUACCCUUUAGUGGCGAAGCUAACGCGUUAAGUUAUCCGCCUGGGGAGUACGGCCGCAAGGUUAAAACUCAAAGGAAUUGACGGGGACCCGCACAAGCGGUGGAGCAUGUGGUUUAAUUCGAUGCAACGCGAAGAACCUUACCUGGUCUUGACAUCCUGCGAACUUUCUAGAAAUAGAUUGGUGCCUUCGGGAACGCAGUGACAGGUGCUGCAUGGCUGUCGUCAGCUCGUGUCGUGAGAUGUUGGGUUAAGUCCCGUAACGAGCGCAACCCCUAUCCUUAUUUGCCAGCACAUCAUGGUGGGAACUAUAAGGAGACUGCCGGUGAUAAACCGGAGGAAGGCGGGGACGACGUCAAGUCAUCAUGGCCCUUACGACCAGGGCUACACACGUGCUACAAUGGGAAGGACAAAGAGCCGCGAAGCCGCGAGGUGUAGCUAAUCUCAUAAACCUUUUCGUAGUCCGGAUUGGAGUCUGCAACUCGACUCCAUGAAGUCGGAAUCGCUAGUAAUCGUAGAUCAGAAUGCUACGGUGAAUACGUUCCCGGGUCUUGUACACACCGC